This 565-nucleotide ribosomal RNA is filed under the name uncultured bacterium. Its description in RNAcentral is "bacterial SSU rRNA". It matches the Rfam family "Bacterial small subunit ribosomal RNA", at positions 338 to 917 of the family's 1533-position model. The record is from RNAcentral.
UCUACGGGAGGCAGCAGUGGGGAAUCUUGCACAAUGGGCGAAAGCCUGAUGCAGCAACGCCGCGUGCGGGAAGACGGCCCUAGGGUUGUAAACCGCUUUCAGCAGGGAAGAAACUGACGGUACCUGCAGAAGAAGAUGCGGCCAACUACGUGCCAGCAGCCGCGGUGACACGUAGGCAUCAAGCGUUAUCCGGAUUUAUUGGGCGUAAAGAGCUCGUAGGCGGUUCGGUUAGUCGGGUGUGAAAACUCUGGGCUCAACCCAGAGACGCCACCCGAUACUGCUGUGACUAGAGUGCGGUAGGGGAGUGGGGAACUCCUGGUGCAGCGGUGAAAUGCGCAGAUAUCAGGAAGAACACCAGUGGCGAAGGCGCCACUCUGGGCCGUAACUGACGCUGAGGAGCGAAAGCGUGGGUAGCAAACAGGAUUAGAUACCCUGGUAGUCCACGCCGUAAACGUUGGGCACUAGGUGUGGGUUCCAACCAACGGGAUCCGCGCCGUCGCUAACGCAUUGAGUGCCCCGCCUGGGGAGUACGGCCGCAAGGCUAAAACUCAAAGGAAUUGACGGA